UGAAGCGGCAACAGCUCAAAUUUGAAAUCUGGCUUCGGCCCGAGUUGUAAUUUGUAGAGGAAACUUUUGGAGAGGCACCUUCUGAGUCCCUUGGAACAGGGCGCCAUAGAGGGUGAGAGCCCCGUAUAGUCGGAUGCCGAUCCAGUGUAAAGUUCCUUCGACGAGUCGAGUAGUUUGGGAAUGCUGCUCAAAAUGGGAGGUAAAUUUCUUCUAAAGCUAAAUAUAGGCCAGAGACCGAUAGCGCACAAGUAGAGUGAUCGAAAGAUGAAAAGCACUUUGAAAAGAGGGUUAAAUAGCACGUGAAAUUGUUGAAAGGGAAGCGUUUGUGACCAGACUUGCGCCGUUCCGAUCAUCCGGUGUUCUCACCGGUGCACUCGGGGCGGCUCAGGCCAGCAUCGGUUCUGGCGGGGGGAUAAAGGUUCAGGGAACGUGGCUCCUCCGGGAGUGUUAUAGCCCUGGGCGUAAUGCCCUCGCCGGGACCGAGGUUCGCGCAUC
This 495-nucleotide ribosomal RNA is filed under the name Pseudoneurospora amorphoporcata. Its description in RNAcentral is "eukaryotic LSU rRNA". It matches the Rfam family "Eukaryotic large subunit ribosomal RNA", at positions 94 to 601 of the family's 3401-position model. Lineage: Eukaryota; Fungi; Ascomycota; Sordariomycetes; Sordariales; Sordariaceae. The record is from RNAcentral.